UACGGAGGGUGCGAGCGUUGUCCGGAAUCACUGGGCGUAAAGGGCGCGUAGGCGGCGCGAGCAGUCGGCGGUGAAAGCCCGGAGCUCAACUCCGGGUCGGCCGUCGAUACUCUCGUGCUUGAGCACUGUAGAGGCAGGUGGAAUUCCGGGUGUAGCGGUGGAAUGCGUAGAUAUCUGGAGGAACACCGGUGGCGAAGGCGACAUCCUGGACCAACACUGACGCUGAGUGAGCGAAAGCCAGGGGAGCAAACGGG
RNAcentral lists this ribosomal RNA (254 nucleotides) under uncultured prokaryote. RNAcentral describes it as "partial 16S ribosomal RNA". It matches the Rfam family "Bacterial small subunit ribosomal RNA", at positions 524 to 776 of the family's 1533-position model. The record is from RNAcentral.